CAACCCAUGCAGUGAUGUAUGGCUGAACUGUCAGAAGUCAGCAGAGGUCAUAGUACCAUAGCGGAUAUAUACGCUGUGGGAAGGAC
RNAcentral lists this non-coding RNA (86 nucleotides) under Pelosinus fermentans. The record is from RNAcentral. Lineage: Bacteria; Bacillati; Bacillota; Negativicutes; Selenomonadales; Sporomusaceae.